UGUUCUCAGGAAAAACUGGCCUGAGCAAAGCAGCACAAAUAUGUGACAAGAAGCUUCCCAGAGGCCAGAGGACUGGGCAGGGGUUGGCUUCAGGCCCCAGGUUCUGUCCCAGCCUGAGCUCUUGACACUGGGAGAAGCGGCUGAAGGUUCUGCCUGCCACAGAGCCUGGGUUUUCACAGUGUCUGUCAGAACUCCUGGGUUCCUGUGUACUUUGAAGUCCAGGAGUUGACGUUCACUUCCACGUGGGCUCUGAUACCAUGGGAUGUAACAUCGUGAGGAAGGGUGAGUGCACUUCAAGUUCUCACAAAUCGGAGCAUGGGAAGACUGCACAUUCUCAAGGGCAGGGGGAGUACACAGCAAAUUCUUUUUUUUCUUUUUCUUUUGGUCCUGGGAAUUGAACCCAGGAGCACUUCGCUACUGAGCCACACCCCUAGCCCUUCUUAUUUUUUAUUUUAAGACAGGGUCUCGCUAAGUUGCUUAGGGACUAAACUGCUGAGGCUGGCAGGUUGCUGGGAUUAUAGUGUGUACCACCACACGUGGCCCCACAUUCUUAUUACAGCACAACAGAUUCCAUUCACAUACCAGACUCCAUGAGUGUUUGAAAUCAUUUCUGAGAUACAUAACAGAAAUACUGGAUAGGUUCUGUGAAGAGAUCAGGGCCUUGAUCAUAGAACUCCAGGCAGAGUUUUUUGGUGCCAGUUUUCAGCAGGAAUGGAGUACUGCCACUUAAAAUGGAGCCUGGGCAGUUAGUUACUCACGAUUAUUCCAAAUCCGUAAUACAAGUGCUCUUCCAAUUGCUUAAGAAAGCCCGGUGUGGUGGCACAUGCCUGUAAUCCCAGCAACUUAGUAGGCUGAGGCAGGAUCACAAAUUCAAGGCCAGCCUCAGCAACUAGUGAGGCCCUAAGCAACUGAUCAAGAUGCUGUCUCACAAUAAAAAACAAAAAGGGCUGGGGAUGUGGCUCAGUGGUUAAGUGCCCCUGGGUUCAAUCCCUUGUACCAAAAAAUAAACAACAACAAAAAAACAAUCGCUUAAUAUGCAGAGCAGUAAACUGGGCAUGGUGGUGCCGGGAGACUAAGAAAGAUGGUUCACAAAGUAAAAAUAUAAUUAGAACUUAUUAUUUUAACUGUAUUUGGUAACUAUUAUCCAAUAUCUCUCUGUCCUUCUUACCCUGGCCCCUUCCUUACCUCUAGUGACCACUAUUCUAUUCUCUUUCUAUGAAAUCUACUUUUUUAGCUCCCACCUAUGAAUGAGAGCAUCUGUGACUUUGUACUUGGUUUAUUUCACUUACAUGAUGUCCUCCAGGCUGCUGCAGAGGACAGGAUUUCAUCCUUUUUAUGGCUGAAUAAUAUCCCGUUGUGUAUGGAUGCCACAUUUUCUUUACCUGUCUGUUGCUGGACACCAACACUGACUCCAUAUCUUGGCUAUUGUUUUUACAUAUUUUUGUUUAUUGUCUUUAUUUUUAUACCAGAAUGUAAAACUCUGUGAGAAUAGACUGUCUCUCUGGGUUGCUCACUGCUAUGGCCUCAAUAAUAAGCUCAUUAUAGAGACUCAACGUUUUAGUGAAUGAAUAAAUAUAAAUAAUUUUAUCAUAAUGGGCUCAUACAAUGCAUUUUAUUUCAAAGAUAAUAUAUUUCAUUUUACUUGGAGUUGUAAAAUUUUUUUUAAGAAAGAAACUCAUAUAAAACUAAAGGCAUUUUUGGAUUGUUCACCAUGCCAGUGUGCUUCAAUUUAAAUCAAUUUCUUAGGCUCCCAGCUGAGAAAUAUGUGCAAAUUAGCAUAAACUUCCCAAAUCCACUUACCUGUUUUGGGUUUUUCUUUUUCUUUUUUUCUUCCAGUUUUGGGGGUUGAACUCAAGUGUCUGCUAUGCAUGCUAGGCAAGUACUGUCCCAUUGAGCUACAUCCCCCAGCCUUUUUUAUCUCAUUUUGAGACAGGUGUCACUAAGUUGCUAAGGCUGACCUGGAACUUACCAUCCUUCUACUUUAGUCUCCUGAAUAGCUAAGAUUAAUCUUCCUUCCUUUCUUCCUUCCUUCCUUCCUCCCUCCCUCCCUCCCUUCCUUCCUUCCUCUCUUCUCUUCUUUCUCUAUCUCCCUCUCUCUCUCUUUCUCUCUCUCUCUCAGCUGGGGAUUGAACCUAGGGGCACUUAACUACUGAGCCACAUCCCAUCCCUUUUUAUAUUUUAUUUAGAGUAGGUCCUCACUAAGUUGCUGAGGCUGGCUUUGAACUUGUGAUCCUCCUGCCUUGGCCUCCUGAGUUGCUGAGAUUACAGGCCUAUGGCCCCAAGCCCGGCUAAUUUACCCAAUAUUACUUAGAUGUUGCCUGGCACUUUUUAAGACAUGUAUAUUGUUGUAGCCUAUACCUUACAUUUAUUAGUCUUAGUUAUGUAUUGAAAUUGAUUCUCACUUUUUGAACUGUUGCAAACUAUUAAAUUUAAAUGCCUAUGGAAGAACGGUGGCAUCACAACUUUUAAAUAAAUGUAUUUCAGGAUUUUCAGAGAAG
RNAcentral lists this long non-coding RNA (2498 nucleotides) under Marmota monax (woodchuck). The record is from RNAcentral. Lineage: Eukaryota; Metazoa; Chordata; Mammalia; Rodentia; Sciuridae.